Molecule: ribosomal RNA, 531 nt
Filed under: uncultured bacterium
Lineage: Bacteria
Description: bacterial SSU rRNA
Rfam family: Bacterial small subunit ribosomal RNA
Source: RNAcentral
AUCUGGCUCAGGACGAACGCUGGCGGCGUGCCUAAUACAUGCAAGUCGAACGGUCUUUCUAUGGAAGCUUGCUCCACUGAAAAGAUAGUGGCGAACGGGUGAGUAACACGUGGGUAACCUGCCCAUAAGAGGGGGGAUAAACAUCCGGAAACGGGUGCUAAUACCGCAUAGUUUUCUUGAUCGCAUGAUCGGGAAAGGAAAGACGGCCUUUGUGCUGUCGCUUAUGGAUGGACCCGCGGCGUAUUAGUUAGUUGGUGAGGUAACGGCUCACCAAGACGAUGAUACGUAGCCGACCUGAGAGGGUGAUCGGCCACAUUGGGACUGAGACACGGCCCAAACUCCUACGGGAGGCAGCAGUAGGGAAUCUUCCGCAAUGGACGAAAGUCUGACGGAGCAACGCCGCGUGAGUGAAGGUAAAGGUUUUCGGAUCGUAAAACUCUGUUGUCAGAGAAGAACAAGUUGGAGAGUAACUGCUCCAGCCUUGACGGUAUCUGACCAGAAAGCCACGGCUAACUACGUGCCAGCAGCGGC